Long non-coding RNA from Carassius auratus (goldfish), 663 nucleotides. RefSeq lists it as uncharacterized. NCBI's taxonomy places the organism in Eukaryota, Metazoa, Chordata, Actinopteri, Cypriniformes, Cyprinidae. The transcript has 3 exons. The record is from RefSeq and is a predicted model, not a curated record.
UACUGUGUGAUUGUGUGAUUUAAAAAGAGAAAAAGUGGUUUUGAGAAGAAUAAGAAUGCUAACGGUUAUAUUUUUUUUCCCAUUACAGACUUUCCAAGCUUUCAAGGACUGCAUGGAGAAACAUCGUUCCUGAAAGCACCAAAUAUUCCCUUGAUCUAAGCCCCGGACCCGUUUGAAUCCCGCAGCAGUCCGGCGAGAUGCGGGAGGUUGGCAAUAAUUGGAAAUGGCUCCUCUAGUUUCGGAGACACAAUCAGAUGCGUCUUGCUGCUUCAAAGCGGUGGAUGUUUAAAAAUCCCACGCUCACGACCGGGACUACAGCCAGAGGAGCAACUUUUCCCAUUUCUUGACACAAUGAAUCGGCAUGACAUCUCCGGCUAACCUGAGCUGCUGUAGUUUUCCACAGCACACUUGCAGCAUGUUACAAGUAAAAAUCCUGCAGCAGAAGCCAGCAGAGACAAAAACAGCCACUCCCCGGAGGAGCUCUGUACAAUACGGACACACACAUGAACAAACGCACAUGUACAGUACUUCAGCGUUGUCAAUGCAGCACUGACAACUUACAGCCAUCAGUACUUCUGGGGUGUUAUGAGGAGACCUAUAGUGGGUUGGGCUGGAUGACCACAAGCUUUUAUCACGAUAUGACACAUGCUAUAUCACAAUUUC